AUACGGAGGGGGUUAGCGUUGUUCGGAAUUACUGGGCGUAAAGCGCACGUAGGCGGACUGGAAAGUUGGGGGUGAAAUCCCGGGGCUCAACCCCGGAACUGCCUCCAAAACUUCCAAUCUAGAGAUCGCGAGAGGUGAGUGGAAUUCCAAGUGUAGAGGUGAAAUUCGUAGAUAUUUGGAGGAACACCAGUGGCGAAGGCGGCUCACUGGCUCGAUACUGACGCUGAGGUGCGAAAGCGUGGGGAGCAAACAAGAUUAGAUACCCCGUAGUCC
RNAcentral lists this ribosomal RNA (273 nucleotides) under uncultured bacterium. Its description in RNAcentral is "partial 16S ribosomal RNA". It matches the Rfam family "Bacterial small subunit ribosomal RNA", at positions 523 to 796 of the family's 1533-position model. The record is from RNAcentral.